AUGCCUAGGAAUCUGCCUGGUAGUGGGGGACAACGUUUCGAAAGGAACGCUAAUACCGCAUACGUCCUACGGGAGAAAGCAGGGGACCUUCGGGCCUUGCGCUAUCAGAUGAGCCUAGGUCGGAUUAGCUAGUUGGUGAGGUAAUGGCUCACCAAGGCGACGAUCCGUAACUGGUCUGAGAGGAUGAUCAGUCACACUGGAACUGAGACACGGUCCAGACUCCUACGGGAGGCAGCAGUGGGGAAUAUUGGACAAUGGGCGAAAGCCUGAUCCAGCCAUGCCGCGUGUGUGAAGAAGGUCUUCGGAUUGUAAAGCACUUUAAGUUGGGAGGAAGGGUUGUAGAUUAAUACUCUGCAAUUUUGACGUUACCGACAGAAUAAGCACCGGCUAACUCUGUGCCAGCAGCCGCGGUAAUACAGAGGGUGCAAGCGUUAAUCGGAAUUACUGGGCGUAAAGCGCGCGUAGGUGGUUUGUUAAGUUGGAUGUGAAAUCCCCGGGCUCAACCUGGGAACUGCAUCU
This 519-nucleotide ribosomal RNA is filed under the name Pseudomonas sp. Air371. RNAcentral describes it as "bacterial SSU rRNA". It matches the Rfam family "Bacterial small subunit ribosomal RNA", at positions 113 to 628 of the family's 1533-position model. Lineage: Bacteria; Pseudomonadati; Pseudomonadota; Gammaproteobacteria; Pseudomonadales; Pseudomonadaceae. The record is from RNAcentral.